AUUGAACGCUGGCGGAAUGCUUUACACAUGCAAGUCGAACGGCAGCACGGGGGUAGCCCUGGUGGCGAGUGGCGAACGGGUGAGUAAUACAUCGGAACGUGCCCGGUCGUGGGGGAUAACGUAGCGAAAGUUACGCUAAUACCGCAUACGAUCUGAGGAUGAAAGCGGGGGACCUUCGGGCCUCGCGCGAUCGGAGCGGCCGAUGUCAGAUUAGGUAGUUGGUGGGGUAAAGGCCUACCAAGCCGACGAUCUGUAGCUGGUCUGAGAGGACGACCAGCCACACUGGGACUGAGACACGGCCCAGACUCCUACGGGAGGCAGCAGUGGGGAAUUUUGGACAAUGGGCGCAAGCCUGAUCCAGCCAUUCCGCGUGCAGGACGAAGGCCUUCGGGUUGUAAACUGCUUUUGUACGGAACGAAAAGGCUCUGGCUAAUACCUGGGGCUCAUGACGGUACCGGAAGAAUAAGCACCGGCUAACUACGUG
Molecule: ribosomal RNA, 484 nt
Filed under: uncultured bacterium
Lineage: Bacteria
Description: partial 16S ribosomal RNA
Rfam family: Bacterial small subunit ribosomal RNA
Source: RNAcentral